RNAcentral lists this ribosomal RNA (253 nucleotides) under uncultured bacterium. RNAcentral describes it as "partial 16S ribosomal RNA". It matches the Rfam family "Bacterial small subunit ribosomal RNA", at positions 524 to 776 of the family's 1533-position model. The record is from RNAcentral.
UACGUAGGCAGCAAGCGUUGUUCGGAAUUACUGGGCGUAAAGAGUGUGUAGGUGGUGUCGUAAGUUUGGUGUGAAAUCUCCCGGCUUAACUGGGAGGGUGCGUCGAAGACUGCGAUGCUGGAGUAUGGGAGAGGAAAGCGGAAUUCCUGGUGUAGCGGUGAAAUGCGUAGAUAUCAGGAGGAACACCGGUGGUGUAGACGGCUUUCUGGACCGUAACUGACGCUGAGACACGAAAGCGUGGGUAGCAAACAGG